AUGGGUUAUGGUGUGGAUAAUUUAAAUAAAACGGGAAACAAGUGGUUUUUGGUUCGGAGUCAAUGUUACUAUUAUUUUCACUGUGUCUGUUCAUUUUAUUUGUUUUGCUCUAUUAUUAUUUAUUUUUAUAGCUCGGGUUUUUCUUUGCUAUUCUUAUUUUUCAACUGAGUGCCUUUCUUUGGCCAUUGCUUCUUUUGAACCCUCGAGUUUAUUU
RNAcentral lists this long non-coding RNA (214 nucleotides) under Lathyrus oleraceus (garden pea). Its description in RNAcentral is "Pisum sativum (pea) long non-coding RNA (PSAT_LNC027947)". Lineage: Eukaryota; Viridiplantae; Streptophyta; Magnoliopsida; Fabales; Fabaceae. The record is from RNAcentral.